RNAcentral lists this microRNA precursor (171 nucleotides) under Triticum aestivum (bread wheat). RNAcentral's name for it is "MIR2118 microRNA precursor family". It matches the Rfam family "MIR2118 microRNA precursor family". The record is from Rfam by way of RNAcentral. Lineage: Eukaryota; Viridiplantae; Streptophyta; Magnoliopsida; Poales; Poaceae. RNAcentral also lists the same sequence under 1 other name.
GCCAGGAAGUGGAAGAAAAGAUGGCAUAAGAGCAGUGGGAGUGGGAACAUGGAGGAAAGCAUAACUUGCUUUGUUUUCACCUCUAGUGUUGGAGGUGAGAAAUUGUUGUGGUGUUUUCCAAUGCCUCCCAUUCCUAUUGUUCUCAAGCGCUCCUUCCUCUUCGUUUUUGGC